GGUUGGUUUUCUACCCUGUAGCACCGAGCUGUGUCUGAGUCUUGAUACAUACACGAUCGGUUACCGGGUGCAUGACCAACUUA
This 83-nucleotide microRNA precursor is filed under the name Dracunculus medinensis (Guinea worm). Its description in RNAcentral is "mir-57 microRNA precursor family". It matches the Rfam family "mir-57 microRNA precursor family". The record is from Rfam by way of RNAcentral. Lineage: Eukaryota; Metazoa; Nematoda; Chromadorea; Rhabditida; Dracunculidae.